Oncorhynchus nerka (sockeye salmon) is the source of this 636-nucleotide long non-coding RNA. RefSeq lists it as uncharacterized. The record is from RefSeq and is a predicted model, not a curated record. NCBI's taxonomy places the organism in Eukaryota, Metazoa, Chordata, Actinopteri, Salmoniformes, Salmonidae. The transcript is spliced from 4 exons.
GGAACACGAGACAUAAGAGAGAGCAGGACACAAGGAGAGUCGAUGUGAAAGCUACUGCACAGCUGGACAACCCAUAGAACUAGACAGAUAUCUGUGCCCCGGUUGCUGGCAGCGUGUCUGAGAGAAUGCAGUGUAGUUGACUGCUCAGCGGUUUGACGCCUUGUUGUGAAAGAAGGGAUGCUGCGAAGAGGAGAGAAGAGAACAGACAGGUCUUCUGUGGGACAGGAGGUGCGCUGAAUGUAUCGUUGAACAAAGACUCGCGCAUGUCCCGCUGUGAGACUCGGUGAAUGAAGUGGAACAGCACUGUCUGUCAAACACCGCAGUCUCCUUCUGCUCUACUGCUGGAAUCUGCCUGCGUGUGACUCUCUUCCUGUAUCUCUCUGAGCCUGCGAUCCACUGAGUGCCUCUACUAUUCUCUUGUCUCAGCAUCACUCAGUUCCAGCCCCUGAGCACUGAACACAGGGCAGCAUGUGAGUGGCAGCAGAAUUGAGCAGCCUCACGUCCUCCCGAACACACACAGGAACACCAGCUCAUCCCCGGCCGUCACUUAGAGUCACACACACACAUACUUACACUCAGACACACACACUUUCAGACUCAGAGACACACACAUUCACUCACAUUCAUAUACAAACG